RNAcentral lists this ribosomal RNA (253 nucleotides) under uncultured bacterium. RNAcentral describes it as "partial 16S ribosomal RNA". It matches the Rfam family "Bacterial small subunit ribosomal RNA", at positions 524 to 776 of the family's 1533-position model. The record is from RNAcentral.
GACGAACCGUACGAACGUUAUUCGGAAUCACUGGGCUUAAAGGGUGCGUAGGCGGUGCGGAAAGUUGGGUGUGAAAUCCCUCGGCUCAACCGAGGAACUGCGCUCAAAACUACCGUGCUCGAGGGAGACAGAGGUGAGCGGAACUUAGGGUGGAGCGGUGAAAUGCGUUGAUAUCUGCAGGAACACCCGUGGCGAAAGCGGCGCGCUGGACCACUACUGACGCUGAGGAACGAAAGCUAGGGGAGCAAACAGG